GAGCUAUGAAGAAGAAUUCAAAGGAAUCUGAGAUUCCAUUGAGGACAUAAGAUCCAACGCUGAGCUCACUGCC
Non-coding RNA from Columba livia (rock pigeon), 73 nucleotides. Lineage: Eukaryota; Metazoa; Chordata; Aves; Columbiformes; Columbidae. The record is from Rfam.